AACGAACGCUGGCGGCAUGCCUAACACAUGCAAGUCGAACGGGAUCCGGACUUCGGUUCGGUGAGAGUGGCGGACGGGUGAGUAACGCGUGGGAACCUGCCCAGUGGUGGGGGAUAACUGCGGGAAACUGCAGCUAAUACCGCAUGAGCCCGAGAGGGGAAAGAUUUAUCGCCAUUGGAGGGGCCCGCGUUCGAUUAGGUAGUUGGUGAGGUAAUGGCUCACCAAGCCGACGAUCGAAGCUGGUCUGAGAGGAUGAUCAGCCACACUGGGACUGAGAUACGGCCCAGACUCCUACGGGAGGCAGCAGUGGGGAAUAUUGGACAAUGGGGGCGAACCCUGAUCCAGCAAUGCCGCG
RNAcentral lists this ribosomal RNA (355 nucleotides) under uncultured bacterium. RNAcentral's name for it is "bacterial SSU rRNA". It matches the Rfam family "Bacterial small subunit ribosomal RNA", at positions 29 to 401 of the family's 1533-position model. The record is from RNAcentral.